GCUACUUUGUUCCAUAUGUUUGAAUAAUAUGGAAGACAGUGCCGUUCCAUAUGUCAAGUCCGCGUGGUAAGAUGUUUGAAUACAUUAGGCCAACCUGGAUUAAGUGACAGAAGGGGAAGAGUAGCAAUGAAGUCAUCUAGAAUAUAAUACCAAAUGGAGAAUGGUCUGGUAACAAACAAAUACGGAAAAACGUGUAGCGCACAAAGAGCCGGAGCUGGAACCAAAUAGAAAUAAUCCAUCCACACGGCAGUAUAAUGCGAGUCUUUGUUAGUUCAUUUUCAUGCCACACUAGCUGAUCUCUGAUGACCCAUACCUGAUCAACUCACUAACAUUUUCCCUUAUCCCUCACUUUUUCAUGUUCUCCCCGUAAUUGCUUGAUGCCGUGUAAAUUUGGUCCAUCGGACUACUGUCACAGUGACAGUGAGAAGGGCUCCCCAACGAAAGCACCAUGUUAACUCAUGCACAAGAAAAAAAAAAUCCAAGAAAUUCUCACAAUAAUCAGAACAUCUAGUCUUUAAUUUGGUAGACACUGCUAAUAGACAUUAAAUCUAUUGUAAUUUACUCACAGAAAUGAAUGCAACAUGAUUUUAUAUAUCUUCAUAUUAGAUUUCAACAAAAUAUGUUAAAAAAGAUAAAUACUAGAAAUGCUAACUAGAGAUCCUUAAUGGAGGUUCCACUUUAAUCGUCACGAGACAAUAGGAAAACAAAAAUCCUAGCAAUUCUCAUAAAAAUCUAAAACAUUUAACCAUCAAUAAUGUAUAAUCUAAUCACCAUUCAUAUAAUAGGUAUUAGAUCUAUUCUAUUUUCUAAAUAAUUACCCACC
This 823-nucleotide long non-coding RNA is filed under the name Sorghum bicolor (sorghum). RNAcentral describes it as "long non-coding RNA (SBIC_LNC002114)". The record is from RNAcentral. Lineage: Eukaryota; Viridiplantae; Streptophyta; Magnoliopsida; Poales; Poaceae.